Daphnia carinata is the source of this 401-nucleotide long non-coding RNA. RefSeq lists it as uncharacterized. The record is from RefSeq and is a predicted model, not a curated record. The transcript has 3 exons. NCBI's taxonomy places the organism in Eukaryota, Metazoa, Arthropoda, Branchiopoda, Diplostraca, Daphniidae.
AGAAGUUGCAUGUCAAAUGGGUUCUCUAAGUUUCGGACUCUAUUUCGAAAAAUAUCCUUGUCUCAAUAAGGUAUACUCUGUGCGCGUGUCACGACCAGCAAGUAAAAGGAGAAUGUUAAAUUCCAUUUGCCGCAAGUCCUGUUACGUACUACCCAUUCUCACGCUGCGUUUAUAGUUGUGUGCCGCCCAAUUCGUUACCUUCACCUAUUUGCGAAGAGAACAUCUGCUUCAAGGAAGUACAUUACUGCAUAGUGCAUUUUUGAGAUGAUUCAAGCCUAAAGGACUUCUAUCUCAAUGGCUUCCAGCAAUGUGUAUCAGCAUUUAUGGUUCAACAGCUAUGUGGAAAGCUAUAAUAAGAGAAUUUAAACUGUUGGGUAAAAGGAAAUCCAUUGUUUAUCAAG